This 1441-nucleotide long non-coding RNA is filed under the name Canis lupus familiaris (dog). RNAcentral describes it as "lncRNA (ENSCAFG00000059015.1, ENSCAFG00845007369.1)". Lineage: Eukaryota; Metazoa; Chordata; Mammalia; Carnivora; Canidae. The record is from RNAcentral.
GCAGAGACAUAGGCAGAGGGAAAAGCAGACUCCAUGCAGGGAGCCUGAUGUGGGACUCGGUCCCAGGACCCCAGGAUCAGGCCCUGAACCAAAGGCAGACGCUUAACCGCUGAGCCACCCAAGCGUCCCUAAUUAUCACCUGUUUAAAGGCAUCUAGGCUGUUUACCAUUUUAGGUUAUUACAAAUAAUACUGCUAUAAAUAUUCUUGUACAAAAUUUUGUAGUGAAAUGAGUUUUCAUGUCUUUAGGGGUAAAUGCCCAGGUUUACAAUGGCUGUGUCUUAUGGUAUUUGAAUGUUUAGUUUUUAAGAAACUGCUAAAUUGUUUUUUCAGACUGGUUGUAUCAUUUUAUAAUCCUACCGCAAUGUGAUCCAGUUUCUUUCUUUUUUUUUUUUAAGAUUUUAUUUACUUAUGACGGGGGGGGGAGAGAGAGAGAGAGAGAGAGCCAGAGACACAGGCAGAGGAAGAAGCAGGCUCCAUGCAGGAAGCCUGAUGUGGGACUUGAUCCCGGGUGUCCAGAAUCACACCCCAGGCCGAAGGCGGCACCAAACCGCUGGGCCACUGGGAUUGCCCUGAUCCAGUUUCUAUACAUCCUCUGCAGCAUUUGUCACCAUUUUGAAAAAAGAUUUUAUUUAUUUAUUCAUGAGAAAUGCAGAGAGAGAGGCAUAGGGAGAAGCAGGUUCCAUGCAGGGAGCCCACUGUGGGACUCCAUCCUGGGACUACAGGAUCAUGCCCUGGGCUGAAGGCAGACGCUCAGCUGCUGAGCCAUCCAGGCGUCCCUGUCACUAUUUUUUAUGUUAGCCAUUCAGAUACGUAUAUGCUGAUACCUCAUUGAAAAAUAAAAAAUAAAAUCACGGAUGAAAAAGAAGAGAUCACAACAAAUACCAAGGAAAUACAAAUGAUUUUAAAAACAUAUCAUGAGCAGCUAUAUGCCAAUAAAUUAGGUAAUCUAGAAGAAAUGGACACAUUUAAUGGAAAACCACAAGCUACUAAAACUGGAACAGGAAGAAACAGAAAGCCUGAACAGGCCGAUAACCAGGGAGGAAAUUGAAGCAGUCAUCAAAAACCUCCCAAGACACAAAAGUCCAGAGCCAGAUGGCUUCCCAGGGGAAUUCUAUCAAACAUUUAAAGAAGAAACAGUACUAUUCUACUAAAGCUGUUCCAAAAGCUAGAAAGAGAUGGAAUACUUCCAAAAUCAUUCUAUGAGGCCAGCAUCACCUUAAUUCCAAAGCCAAAGACCCCACCAAAAAGGAGAAUUAUAGACCAAUAUCCCUAAUGAACAUGGAUGUAAAAAUUCUCAAAAAGAUACUAGCCAAUAGGAUCCAACAGUACAUUAAGAAGAUUAUCCACCAUGACCAAGUGGGAUUUAUCCCCAGGAUGCAAGGCUGGUUCAACACUCAUAAAGCAAUCAAUGUGAUAGAUCAUAUCAACAAAAGAAAAAAA